CAGCAGCCGCGGGAAUACGAAGGGUGCAAGCGUUAAUCGGAAUUACUGGGCGUAAAGCGUGCGUAGGCGGUGAGUUAAGUCUGCUGUGAAAUCCCCGGGCUCAACCUGGAAAUGGCAGUGGAUACUGGCUCGCUAGAGUGUGUCAGAGGAUGGUGGAAUUCCCGGUGUAGCGGUGAAAUGCGUAGAGAUCGGGAGGAACAUCAGUGGCGAAGGCGGCCAUCUGGGACAACACUGACGCUGAGGCACGAAAGCGUGGGGAGCAAACAGGAUUAGAUACCCCCGUAGUCCCUGUCUCUUAUAC
This 301-nucleotide ribosomal RNA is filed under the name uncultured bacterium. RNAcentral describes it as "partial 16S ribosomal RNA". It matches the Rfam family "Bacterial small subunit ribosomal RNA", at positions 509 to 807 of the family's 1533-position model. The record is from RNAcentral.